Molecule: ribosomal RNA, 254 nt
Filed under: uncultured bacterium
Lineage: Bacteria
Description: partial 16S ribosomal RNA
Rfam family: Bacterial small subunit ribosomal RNA
Source: RNAcentral
UACGUAGGGUGCGAGCGUUGUCCGGAUUUAUUGGGCGUAAAGAGCUCGUAGGCGGCUUGGCAAGUCGGGUGUGAAACCUCCAGGCUUAACCUGGAGACGCCACUCGAUACUGCCAUGGCUAGAGUCCGGUAGGGGACCACGGAAUUCCUGGUGUAGCGGUGAAAUGCGCAGAUAUCAGGAGGAACACCGGUGGCGAAGGCGGUGGUCUGGGCCGGCACUGACGCUGAGGAGCGAAAGCGUGGGUAGCAAACAGG